GAUUAACUACUACUCAUAUAGGAAAAUUGAAACGAUACAGAGAAGAUUAGCAUGCCCCUUCACGAGGAUGACAUAAAAAUUCAUAAAGUUUUCUUUAAAGUA
Molecule: non-coding RNA, 102 nt
Organism: Ornithorhynchus anatinus (platypus)
Lineage: Eukaryota; Metazoa; Chordata; Mammalia; Monotremata; Ornithorhynchidae
Source: Rfam